Molecule: microRNA, 19 nt
Filed under: Tribolium castaneum (red flour beetle)
Lineage: Eukaryota; Metazoa; Arthropoda; Insecta; Coleoptera; Tenebrionidae
Description: tca-miR-3879-5p
Source: miRBase by way of RNAcentral
UGGGUUAUUGUGUGCCGGU